This is a long non-coding RNA of Dreissena polymorpha, 323 nucleotides long. RefSeq lists it as uncharacterized. NCBI's taxonomy places the organism in Eukaryota, Metazoa, Mollusca, Bivalvia, Myida, Dreissenidae. The transcript has 3 exons. The record is from RefSeq and is a predicted model, not a curated record.
CAUUCACACCCCUAUCUCAAUGUCUCUGUCAGGUAACUGAUUCUGUUGAUCAUUCACACCCCUAUCUCAAUGUCUCUGUCUGGUAACUGAUUCUGUUGAUCAUUCACACCCCUAUCUCAAUGUCUCUGUCUGGUAACUGAUUCUGUUGAUCAUUCACACCCCUAUCUCAAUGUCUCUGUCUGGUAACUGAUUCUGUUGAUCAUUCACACCCCUAUCUCAAUGUCUCUGUCUGGUAACUGAUUCUGUUGAUCAUUCACACCCCUAUCUCAAUGUCUCUGUCUGGUAACUGAUUCUGUUGAUCAUUCACACCCCUAUCUCAAUGU